UACACUCCUGCGGGAGGCAGCAGUGGGGAAUUUUGGACAAUGGGCGAAAGCCUGAUCCAGCAAUGCCGCGUGAGUGAAGAAGGCCUUCGGGUUGUAAAGCUCUUUUGUCAGGGAAGAAACGGUGCGAGCUAAUAUCUCUUGCUAAUGACGGUACCUGAAGAAUAAGCACCGGCUAACUACGUGCCAGCAGCCGCGGUAAUACGUAGGGUGCAAGCGUUAAUCGGAAUUACUGGGCGUAAAGCGUGCGCAGGCGGUUUUGUAAGUCUGAUGUGAAAUCCCCGGGCUCAACCUGGGAAUUGCAUUGGAGACUGCAAGGCUAGAAUCUGGCAGAGGGGGGUAGAAUUCCACGUGUAGCAGUGAAAUGCGUAGAUAUGUGGAGGAACACCGAUGGCGAAGGCAGCCCCCUGGGUCAAGAUUGACGCUCAUGCACGAAAGCGUGGGGAGCAAACAGGAUUAGAUACCCGGGUAGUCCCAUGAU
RNAcentral lists this ribosomal RNA (478 nucleotides) under uncultured organism. RNAcentral's name for it is "partial 16S ribosomal RNA". It matches the Rfam family "Bacterial small subunit ribosomal RNA", at positions 332 to 801 of the family's 1533-position model. The record is from RNAcentral.